UACGAAGGGGGCUAGCGUUGCUCGGAAUUACUGGGCGUAAAGCGCACGUAGGCGGAUUGUUAAGUCGGGGGUGAAAUCCUGGAGCUCAACUCCAGAACUGCCUUCGAUACUGGCGAUCUCGAGUUCGGGAGAGGUGAGUGGAACUGCGAGUGUAGAGGUGAAAUGCGUAGAGAUCGGCAGGAACACCCAGGGGGAAACCAGUGGACUGGCACGGUGCUGACGCUCAGGUGCGAAAGCGUGGGGAGCGAACCGG
Molecule: ribosomal RNA, 253 nt
Filed under: uncultured bacterium
Lineage: Bacteria
Description: partial 16S ribosomal RNA
Rfam family: Bacterial small subunit ribosomal RNA
Source: RNAcentral